This 230-nucleotide unclassified non-coding RNA is filed under the name plant metagenome. Its description in RNAcentral is "partial contains small subunit ribosomal RNA, internal transcribed spacer 1, and 5.8S ribosomal RNA". The record is from RNAcentral.
UCUCCGUAGGUGAACCUGCGGAGGGAUCAUUACCGAGCUCAUGCCCUUACGGGUAGAUCUCCCACCCUGUGUUAUUAUUACCUUUGUUGCUUUGGCGGACCGCCAGGCUCCGGUCAGGCUAUCGGCUUCGGCUGGUAAGCGCCCGCCAGAGGACCCUAUAUCCUGAUUAUUAGUGUCGUCUGAGUACUAUAUAAUAGUUAAAACUUUCAACAACGGAUCUCUUGGUUCUG